This 505-nucleotide ribosomal RNA is filed under the name uncultured bacterium. RNAcentral describes it as "partial 16S ribosomal RNA". It matches the Rfam family "Bacterial small subunit ribosomal RNA", at positions 28 to 507 of the family's 1533-position model. The record is from RNAcentral.
GACGAACGCUGGCGGCGUGCCUAAUACAUGCAAGUAGAACGCACAGUUUAUACCGUAGCUUGCUACACCAUAGACUGUGAGUUGCGAACGGGUGAGUAACGCGUAGGUAACCUGCCUGGUAGCGGGGGAUAACUAUUGGAAACGAUAGCUAAUACCGCAUAAUAUUAAUUAUUGCAUGAUAAUUAAUUGAAAGGUGCAAUUGCACCACUACCAGAUGGACCUGCGUUGUAUUAGCUAGUAGGUGAGGUAACGGCUCACCUAGGCGACGAGACAUAGCCGACCUGAGAGGGUGAUCGGCCACACUGGGACUGAGACACGGCCCAGACGCCUACGGGAGGCAGCAGUAGGGAAUCUUCGGCAAUGGACGAAAGUCUGACCGAGCAACGCCGCGUGAGUGAAGAAGGGUGUCGGAUCGUAAAGCUCGGUUGUAAGAGAAGAACGGGUGUGAGAGUGGAAAGUUCACACUGUGACGGUAUCUUACCAGAAAGGGACGGCUAACUACGUG